Molecule: ribosomal RNA, 897 nt
Filed under: human gut metagenome
Description: bacterial SSU rRNA
Rfam family: Bacterial small subunit ribosomal RNA
Source: RNAcentral
CUCAGGAUGAACGCUGGCGGCGUGCCUAAUACAUGCAAGUCGAACGCUUCACUUCGGUGAAGAGUGGCGAACGGGUGAGUAAUACAUAAGUAACCUGGCAUCUACAGGGGGAUAACUGAUGGAAACGUCAGCUAAGACCGCAUAGGUGUAGAGAUCGCAUGAACUCUAUAUGAAAAGUGCUACGGGACUGGUAGAUGAUGGACUUAUGGCGCAUUAGCUGGUUGGUAGGGUAACGGCCUACCAAGGCGACGAUGCGUAGCCGACCUGAGAGGGUGACCGGCCACACUGGGACUGAGACACGGCCCAGACUCCUACGGGAGGCAGCAGUAGGGAAUUUUCGGCAAUGGGGGAAACCCUGACCGAGCAACGCCGCGUGAAGGAAGAAGUAAUUCGUUAUGUAAACUUCUGUCAUAGAGGAAGAACGGUGGAUAUAGGGAAUGAUAUCCAAGUGACGGUACUCUAUAAGAAAGCCACGGCUAACUACGUGCCAGCAGCCGCGGUAAUACGUAGGUGGCGAGCGUUAUCCGGAAUUAUUGGGCGUAAAGAGGGAGCAGGCGGCACUAAGGGUCUGUGGUGAAAGAUCGAAGCUUAACUUCGGUAAGCCAUGGAAACCGUAGAGCUAGAGUGUGUGAGAGGAUCGUGGAAUUCCAUGUGUAGCGGUGAAAUGCGUAGAUAUAUGGAGGAACACCAGUGGCGAAGGCGACGAUCUGGCGCAUAACUGACGCUCAGUCCCGAAAGCGUGGGGAGCAAAUAGGAUUAGAUACCCUAGUAGUCCACGCCGUAAACGAUGAGUACUAAGUGUUGGGAGUCAAAUCUCAGUGCUGCAGUUAACGCAAUAAGUACUCCGCCUGAGUAGUACGUUCGCAAGAAUGAAACUCAAAGGAAUUGACGGGGGCC